This is a long non-coding RNA of Mytilus californianus (California mussel), 187 nucleotides long. RefSeq lists it as uncharacterized. Lineage: Eukaryota; Metazoa; Mollusca; Bivalvia; Mytilida; Mytilidae. The record is from RefSeq and is a predicted model, not a curated record. The transcript has 2 exons.
CACAGCUUGUCUGUAAGGAUUGAAGCUGGGAGUGGGCAUUGGAGCUGACUUUUAUGAUAACUGUGGCUGCAUAAAAUGGUUGUGUGAUAUAACUGCAACAGUAAAGAAUGUAAUUCAGACUAUUUUUGUGUAUGCUUGAGAAAAUGUUUAUAAUUUUUUUACAAAAAAAAAAAAAAAAAUAUGUAAA